Non-coding RNA from Chrysemys picta bellii (western painted turtle), 1618 nucleotides. The record is from RefSeq and is a predicted model, not a curated record. NCBI's taxonomy places the organism in Eukaryota, Metazoa, Chordata, Testudines, Emydidae.
AACUAAGUAACCAGCUGAUUCUGACCUCUGAAUGACUGAAAAAACCCGUUGACAGCAGAUCCGUCAAGUAUGCUGGACCCACAACCAUUACAUGCCUGAUGGGUUAAAGCUGCCCUUUGGAUGACCUAUGCUUCACAGAGAAGAUCCUCCUUGGCUCAUCAAACGUGCUUGGAAGGAGAAAACAUCAAUAAAUCAAUCCUGAAACAUCCUACUCCAGUCAAGAGGACAGUGCUGACAUUUAGAGAUGGGAAAUGUAAGAAAAUUCUCCUGGUUUUCCAAAAUAUUGAAUCCAGCAGGAGAGGAGUUUUGAGGAAGUGUGGGCCCAAGCUGCUCAGGUUGCCUAUUACAGUACUUCCAGCGACUUGAAUGUAGAAUUGCUCCUGAACCUGGCACUGUGAAGCUAACCAGAACCUAAUCAAACAGCAAAAGGUUUGAAAGAUGAAGAUGUUCUGACAACAGCAGAUCAAGAUAAUGCUAAGCAGAAACAUUCUUCAUACCUUUCCUGCCAUCAUGAAUUAUGUUAGUUGUACCUGGAUCCAUCCUGGCCUACCACCCAGCCUCUCGUCUAUACAGACUUCCACGUGGAAUGAGCUGAGGGGCCUGCUGCAAAACCUAUUAAAUCUCUAGUAGGAGGCAGGAGCUAUCUGCACAGAGGCCCUGUGCUUCCAUACUGUGUCUGGCCCUUGCGAUGCUGCCCUACCGAUCCUAUCUAUUGCAGCCCUACCAAUUCCAUCUGUUGCAGCCUUGCUACAAGUUCCCCCUGGCAGCAGUAGCCCCCGGGACCCUGGUGUUUGUUUUGGGGGGCGGGAAGGGAGAAGAUGGGAGAAUGGAAACGAUAGUUGGUGUGUGGAUGUAUUAUCUGUUUUGUUUAAGCCCCAUGGUUCAGGGGUGGCAGGUAUGAUGUGUACCCCUCCCCUUUCUCCACUUCUCUCUCUGCAUAGGCACCAGACCUUCAGAGACCUCGGUAGGUUCCAGAGUGGGAAUCAUACUGCAGAGGCAGUUUCCCUCCCCCCCCGCCCCCUUUGGUGAGAAAGAGGGGAUGGGAUGGGUUUAAUUAAAUACAGUACAUAACACUUAGUAUUGAAUAGUAUCACUGCACAUCAGUUAUGGUGAUGUACUAUUUGUGAUAUGUGAAGUUUGCACCUUUCUGAUUCCAGGCUGCUCUGGGAACAGAAAUGGGCCCCAGGAUAAUGUGCAGUAACCCUCAUCUGCUCUAACUUAGGGUGGCCUAACCCAGGUUACCUAUGAGCUGCAGCACCAUGUGCAAUGGCCCCACCUCACCUCCUGCCACCAGCAUGCCCAGUACCCCUUCUGCUUACAGUAGUCCUACACUGUGUGCACACCAGGAGACUUCUACCUAGUGCAUUAAUGUCCCACUUCAGGGGGAAGAUUGCAGUUUAAUCAGAAUGUAAGAUUCCAUGAACAGGUGAGUGAAGUGAAUGUGAGGAAAUUUAUAUGGAGUAUCAAAUUUUAUGGAGAGUAGUUACUUUUGCCAACACGACUAAAGACAUUAUUUUAAGAAAGCACCUAGAGUCUGUUUGGACCUCAACCCUGUUCCUGACACAUCAGAAGAAAUAAAGGAGGAAUCCAGAUUAUAUCUUUAAAAAAAUAAUAAGAA